Molecule: signal recognition particle RNA, 268 nt
Filed under: Candidatus Latescibacterota bacterium
Lineage: Bacteria; Pseudomonadati; Candidatus Latescibacterota
Also listed under: 1 other name
Description: signal recognition particle sRNA large type
Rfam family: Bacterial large signal recognition particle RNA
About the family: The signal recognition particle (SRP) is a universally conserved ribonucleoprotein involved in the co-translational targeting of proteins to membranes.
Source: RNAcentral
UCGUGCUAGACGGGGAGUCAGCGGUGCCCUGUAGCCCGCAAUCCGCUACAGCGGGGUCGAAGUCCCCAUCCGAGGUCCCAACCGGUUUCGAUGUCGUGGAAGCCAAGGGGCUUCGACGGCCAGGUCCCGCGCAACGGGCCACCGCCGAACCCCGUCAGGACCGGAAGGUAGCAGCGGUAGGCGGGACGGUCCGGGUGCCGUGGGUUCCCCUGGCCUGAGCCAACAGCUUUCGCGGCUCGGGAACGGAGGAUCGAGGUGGGGUGCACGG